AGGUUGAAGGUGCAGCAAGUGAAGAUGGAAGGAUGCCAAGCAUAUGGGAUAUCUUCGCCCAUGUUGGAAAUGCUUUGCUUCACAUACUUUUGUGUUGGGUUCUUGUUUUCAAAUCUAGGCUUGGAAGCAAAGCUUACAGAGCCUUCGAUCUCGAAAACAUGAUUUCGAUAUUGGGUUCCAUGGAAGAUGGAGAGAUAAGCAUAUCUGCUUAUGACACAGUUUAGGCAUAAAAUCUAUGAAGCAGAAGGCAUUGUCUACUGUGACAGGAGUGGAAGAAGUGAAUGCAGAUAGUAAGACAAGUAAAGUAGUAGUGUUAAAGAAGCGCAGGCUUGAUGAGUAACCAUCUAAACACCAAAUACCAUGCUUUGGUUUCCAUUCUUUGUCAUUGGUUCAAAUGGAAAUUCAAUUGCCUUGUUCCAAGUGCUGUUUGAUUAUGAGAUUUACCAAAGUCAAUUCAUUAAUGAUUAUAACAAAUCUAUUUGCUCACAUUCGAAUCUGAUGUCAGUUUGAGUUACUUGCAAAAGUAAGUCACGUUGUA
Long non-coding RNA from Gastrolobium bilobum, 538 nucleotides. RefSeq lists it as uncharacterized. NCBI's taxonomy places the organism in Eukaryota, Viridiplantae, Streptophyta, Magnoliopsida, Fabales, Fabaceae. The record is from RefSeq and is a predicted model, not a curated record. The transcript is spliced from 4 exons.